GUACACGCUGUGACUAGCAUAUCAAUAAGCGGAGGAAAAGAAACUAACAAGGAUUCCCCUAGUAACGGCGAGUGAAGCGGGAAGAGCUCAAAUUUGAAAUCUUAAAGGGUUUCCCUUUACGAAUUGUAGUUUAAAGAAGUGUUUUCUGUUGAGGUUUUGGUAAAAGUUCUUUGGAAUAGGACAUCAUAGAGGGUGAGAAUCCCGUAUUUGACCUCUACUUUCAACUUUGUGAUACACUUUCAAAGAGUCGGAUUGUUUGGGAAUGCAGUCCAAAAUGGGUGGUAAAUUUCAUCUAAAGCUAAAUAUUGGCGAGAGACCGAUAGCGGACAAGUACCGUGAGGGAAAGAUGAAAAGAACUUUGAAAAGAGAGUUAAACAGUACGUGAAAUUGUCAAAAGGGAAGCGUUUGACACCAGUGUUGUUUUUCUGAAAAUCAAUUAAAGAACUGUUUAUGCUAAGUUGUUUAGACUUUAUCAGCUAAUCUGUUUAGUUUUGAGCUUUUCUUUAAUGCACUUUUCAGUUAACAAGUCAACAUCAAUUUCUUUUGCUGUAAAAAAGCUUGAGGAAGGUGGCUUGAGAUUCGUCUUAAGUGUUUAUAGCCUCUUGCCUAUGCAGUCGGAGAGAUUGAGGUCUGCAGCGUAGAUCCUUCGGGGCUAAAUGCAUUUGUGCUAAGUUAUAGCAUUUCAUAGACAACUUGUUGACUAUGAUUUGUCUUGUAGCUUACUCGCUUAUGUUAUUUUACCUACGCUUAGGAUGUUGACGCGCGUGUGUGCGUG
RNAcentral lists this ribosomal RNA (775 nucleotides) under uncultured Neocallimastigales. RNAcentral's name for it is "partial large subunit ribosomal RNA". It matches the Rfam family "Eukaryotic large subunit ribosomal RNA", at positions 22 to 639 of the family's 3401-position model. The record is from RNAcentral. Lineage: Eukaryota; Fungi; Neocallimastigomycota; Neocallimastigomycetes; Neocallimastigales.